GACGAACGCUGGCGGCGUGCUUAACACAUGCAAGUCGAACGGAAAGGCCCCUUUGGGGGUACUCGAGUGGCGAACGGGUGAGUAACACGUGAGUAACCUGCCCUUGACUUCGGGAUAACUUCAGGAAACUGGGGCUAAUACCGGAUAGGAAUCCUUGCUGCAUGGUGGGGGUUGGAAAGCUUCGGCGGUUUUGGAUGGACUCGCGGCUUAUCAGCUUGUUGGUGGGGUAGUGGCUUACCAAGGCUUUGACGGGUAGCCGGCCUGAGAGGGCGACCGGCCACAUUGGGACUGGGAUACGGCCCAGACUCCUACGGGAGGCAGCGGUGGGGAAUAUUGCACAAUGGGCGGAAGCCUGAUGCAGCAACGCCGCGGGCGGGAUGACGGCCUUCGGGUUGUAAACCGCUUUCAGCAGGGGCGAAGCUUGUGGUGACGGUACCUGCAGAAGAAGCACCGGCUAACUACGUG
RNAcentral lists this ribosomal RNA (465 nucleotides) under uncultured bacterium. Its description in RNAcentral is "partial 16S ribosomal RNA". It matches the Rfam family "Bacterial small subunit ribosomal RNA", at positions 28 to 507 of the family's 1533-position model. The record is from RNAcentral.